AGCGAACGCUGGCGGCAGGCCUAACACAUGCAAGUCGAACGAACCUUUCGGGCUUAGUGGCGGACGGGUGAGUAACACGUGGGAACUUGCCUUUAGGUUCGGUAUAACUCAGGGAAACUUGUGCUAAUACCGAAUGUGCCCUUCGGGGGAAAGAUCAAUCGCCUUUGGAGCGGCGCUCGUCUGAUUGGCUAGUUGGUUGAGGUAAUGGCUCAUCAAGGCGGCGAUCCGUAGCUGGUCUGAGAGGAUGCUCAGCCACAUUGGGACGCGGACACGGCCCAAACGCCUGCCGGAAGUAGCAAUGGGGAAACUGCGCGAGGGGCGAAAGCCCGACGCAGCCAUGCCGCGGGAAUGGUGAAGGUCUUAGGAUUGCAAAAUUCUUUCACCCGGGGCGAUAAUGACGGUAACCGGUAAAGAAGCCCCGGCUAACUUCGUG
Molecule: ribosomal RNA, 433 nt
Filed under: uncultured bacterium
Lineage: Bacteria
Description: partial 16S ribosomal RNA
Rfam family: Bacterial small subunit ribosomal RNA
Source: RNAcentral